Molecule: ribosomal RNA, 656 nt
Filed under: uncultured bacterium
Lineage: Bacteria
Description: bacterial SSU rRNA
Rfam family: Bacterial small subunit ribosomal RNA
Source: RNAcentral
CCGGCGUAUGGGUGAGUAACACGUAUGCAACCUGCCUGCCACAGCCGGAUAAUCGGGAGAAAUCCCGUCUAAUACGGCAUAAUGCAUCGACGGGACAUCCUGUUGGUGCCAAAGGUUAAUUCCGGUGGCGGAUGGGCAUGCGUCGCAUUAGUUAGUUGGCGGUGUAACGGACCACCAAGACGACGAUGCGUAGGGGUUCUGAGAGGAAGGUCCCCCACACUGGUACUGAGACACGGACCAGACUCCUACGGGAGGCAGCAGUGAGGAAUAUUGGUCAAUGGGCGGGAGCCUGAACCAGCCAAGUCGCGUGAGGGAUGACGGCCCUAUGGGUUGUAAACCUCUUUUGCCGGGGAGCAAAGUGCCGCACGUGUGCGGUUUGGAGAGUACCCGGAGAAAAAGCAUCGGCUAACUCCGUGCCAGCAGCCGCGGUAAUACGGAGGAUGCGAGCGUUAUCCGGAUUUAUUGGGUUUAAAGGGUGCGUAGGCGGACGCUUAAGUCAGCGGUAAAAUUGCGGGGCUCAACCUCGUCGAGCCGUUGAAACUGGGUGCCUUGAGUGGGCGAGAAGUACGCGGAAUGCGUGGUGUAGCGGUGAAAUGCAUAGAUAUCACGCAGAACUCCGAUUGCGAAGGCAGCGUACCGGCGCCCAACUGACGCUG